This 253-nucleotide ribosomal RNA is filed under the name uncultured bacterium. RNAcentral describes it as "partial 16S ribosomal RNA". It matches the Rfam family "Bacterial small subunit ribosomal RNA", at positions 524 to 776 of the family's 1533-position model. The record is from RNAcentral.
UACGUAGGGGGCAAGCGUUGUCCGGAAUCAUUAGGCGUAAAGCGCGCGUAGGCGGCCCUGUAAGUCCGUUGUGAAAGUCAAAGGCUCAACCUUUGAAAGCCGAUGGAUACUGCAGGGCUAGAGUCCGGAAGAGGCGAGUGGAAUUCCUGGUGUAGCGGUGGAAUGCGCAGAUAUCAGGAGGAACACCGGUGGCGAAGGCGGUUCUCUGGGCCUUACCUGACGCUGAGGAGCGAAAGCGUGGGGAGCGAACAGG